AAACGACUCUCGGUAACGGAUAUCUCGGCUCUCGCAUCGAUGAAGAACGUAGUUGAAAUGCGAUACUUGGUGUGAAUUGCAGAAUCCCGCGAACCAUCGAGUCUUUGAACGCAAGUUGCGCCCGAAGCCGUCCGGCCGAGGGCAAGUCUGCCUGGGCGUCACRC
Molecule: ribosomal RNA, 164 nt
Filed under: Diospyros confertiflora
Lineage: Eukaryota; Viridiplantae; Streptophyta; Magnoliopsida; Ericales; Ebenaceae
Description: 5.8S ribosomal RNA
Rfam family: 5.8S ribosomal RNA
About the family: 5.8S ribosomal RNA (5.8S rRNA) is a component of the large subunit of the eukaryotic ribosome. It is transcribed by RNA polymerase I as part of the 45S precursor that also contains 18S and 28S rRNA. Functionally, it is thought that 5.8S rRNA may be involved in ribosome translocation.
Source: RNAcentral